CGCAUCUGUGCAUGCAGCAUAUCAAUAAGCGGAGGAAAAGAAACUAACAAGGAUUCCCUUAGUAACGGCGAGCGAAGCGGGAAGAGCUCAAAUUUGAAAUCUUAAAGGGUUUCCCUUUACGAAUUGUAGUUUAAAGAAGUGUUUUCUGUUGAGGUUUUGGUAAAAGUUCUUUGGAAUAGGACAUCAUAGAGGGUGAGAAUCCCGUAUUUGACCAUUAUUUUCAACUUUGUGAUACACUUUCAAAGAGUCGGAUUGUUUGGGAAUGCAGUCCAAAAUGGGUGGUAAAUUUCAUCUAAAGCUAAAUAUUGGCGAGAGACCGAUAGCGAACAAGUACCGUGAGGGAAAGACGAAAAGAACUUUGAAAAGAGAGUUAAACAGUACGUGAAAUUGUCAAAAGGGAAGCGUUUGACACCAGUGUUGUUUUUCUGAAAGUCAAUUAAAGAACUGUUUAUGCUAAGCUGUUUAGACUUUAUCAGCUAAUCUGUUUAGUUUUGAGCUUUUCUUUAAUGCACUUUUCAGUUAACAAGUCAACAUCAAUUUCUUUUGCUGUAAAAAAGCUUGAGGAAGGUGGCUUGAGAUUCGUCUUAAGUGUUUAUAGCCUCUUGCCUAUGCAGUCGGAGAGAUUGAGGUCUGCAGCGUAGAUCCUUCGGGGCUAAAUGCAUUUGUGCUAAGUUAUAGCAUUUUAUAGACAACUUGUUGACUAUGAUUUGUCUUGUAGCUUACUCGCUUAUGUUAUUUUACCUACGCUUAGGAUGUUGACGAGACUGUCGAUCUC
RNAcentral lists this ribosomal RNA (775 nucleotides) under uncultured Neocallimastigales. RNAcentral's name for it is "partial large subunit ribosomal RNA". It matches the Rfam family "Eukaryotic large subunit ribosomal RNA", at positions 26 to 647 of the family's 3401-position model. The record is from RNAcentral. Lineage: Eukaryota; Fungi; Neocallimastigomycota; Neocallimastigomycetes; Neocallimastigales.